GAAUAUUUGAGCUGAAUCAGUUUUUACUGUGUAAGUUGUAGAUUUGUUCCCUCUGUGGAGUCCACAGCUUCAUGCAGUCGGUUUAGCUGACUUUCUUGUGGCACUGAGGGCAGUUUGAGUGCAUUACAGCAGACUGAUCUUCUCUGUUAUCUUUCCAGUGUGAGUGCACGAAAGGAUCUCACAGAUGAACAUGUGGCCCCUGACACUCCAGCCACCUCUUCUGCACCAGUCUCACCUCCAGCUGAGGCUCAGACGAAUAAAUCAAAGAAGGCUUCCUGGUGGCGCAGAUGGCUUUUUUGUGAGAAAAAGUCAAAGGUUUUUCCCAAAAAUGAAGACAAGGCAGAAGACACGGUCGUGCCACCUUCUGAA
RNAcentral lists this long non-coding RNA (369 nucleotides) under Oreochromis niloticus (Nile tilapia). RNAcentral's name for it is "lncRNA (ENSONIG00000033514.1)". Lineage: Eukaryota; Metazoa; Chordata; Actinopteri; Cichliformes; Cichlidae. The record is from RNAcentral.